RNAcentral lists this ribosomal RNA (448 nucleotides) under uncultured bacterium. Its description in RNAcentral is "bacterial SSU rRNA". It matches the Rfam family "Bacterial small subunit ribosomal RNA", at positions 331 to 794 of the family's 1533-position model. The record is from RNAcentral.
CCAGACUCCUACGGGAGGCAGCAGUGGGGAAUAUUGGGCAAUGGGCGCAAGCCUGACCCAGCAACGCCGCGUGAAGGAAGAAGGCUUUCGGGUUGUAAACUUCUUUUGACAGGGAAGAGCAGAAGACGGUACCCGUCGAAUAAGCCACGGCUAACUACGUGCCAGCAGCCGCGGUAAUACGUAGGUGGCAAGCGUUGUCCGGAUUUACCGGGUGUAAAGGGCGUGUAGCCGGGCUGACAAGUCAGAUGUGAAAUCCGGGGGCUCAACCCCCGAACUGCAUUUGAAACUGUUGGUCUUGAGUAUCGGAGAGGCAGGCGGAAUUCCUAGUGUAGCGGUGAAAUGCGUAGAUAUUAGGAGGAACACCAGUGGCGAAGGCGGCCUGCUGGACGACAACUGACGGUGAGGCGCGAAAGCGUGGGGAGCAAACAGGAUUAGAUACCCGGGUACU